This 253-nucleotide ribosomal RNA is filed under the name uncultured Microcoleus sp. Its description in RNAcentral is "partial 16S ribosomal RNA". It matches the Rfam family "Bacterial small subunit ribosomal RNA", at positions 524 to 776 of the family's 1533-position model. Lineage: Bacteria; Bacillati; Cyanobacteriota; Cyanophyceae; Oscillatoriales; Microcoleaceae. The record is from RNAcentral.
UACGGAGGAGGCAAGCGUUAUCCGGAAUUAUUGGGCGUAAAGCGUCCGCAGGUGGCUAGUCAAGUCGGCGGUCAAAGACUGGGGCUCAACUCCAGAAAAGCCGUGGAAACUGACAAGCUAGAGGGCGGUAGGGGUAGAGGGAAUUCCCGGUGUAGCGGUGAAAUGCGUAGAGAUCGGGAAGAACAUCGGUGGCGAAAGCGCUCUACUGGACCGCAACUGACACUAAUGGACGAAAGCUAGGGGAGCGAAUGGG